RNAcentral lists this ribosomal RNA (798 nucleotides) under Salmonella enterica. RNAcentral describes it as "partial 23S ribosomal RNA". It matches the Rfam family "Bacterial large subunit ribosomal RNA", at positions 711 to 1510 of the family's 2925-position model. The record is from RNAcentral. Lineage: Bacteria; Pseudomonadati; Pseudomonadota; Gammaproteobacteria; Enterobacterales; Enterobacteriaceae.
AGACCCGAAACCCGGUGAUCUAGCCAUGGGCAGGUUGAAGGUUGGGUAACACUAACUGGAGGACCGAACCGACUAAUGUUGAAAAAUUAGCGGAUGACCUGUGGCUGGGGGUGAAAGGCCAAUCAAACCGGGAGAUAGCUGGUUCUCCCCGAAAGCUAUUUAGGUAGCGCCUCGUGAAUUCAUCUCCGGGGGUAGAGCACUGUUUCGGCUAGGGGGCCAUCCCGGCUUACCAACCCGAUGCAAACUGCGAAUACCGGAGAAUGUUAUCACGGGAGACACACGGCGGGUGCUAACGUCCGUCGUGAAGAGGGAAACAACCCAGACCGCCAGCUAAGGUCCCAAAGUCAUGGUUAAGUGGGAAACGAUGUGGGAAGGCCCAGACAGCCAGGAUGUUGGCUUAGAAGCAGCCAUCAUUUAAAGAAAGCGUAAUAGCUCACUGGUCGAGUCGGCCUGCGCGGAAGAUGUAACGGGGCUAAACCAUGCACCGAAGCUGCGGCAGCGACGCUGAUGCGUUGUUGGGUAGGGGAGCGUUCUGUAAGCCUGUGAAGGUGGCCUGUGAGGGUUGCUGGAGGUAUCAGAAGUGCGAAUGCUGACAUAAGUAACGAUAAAGCGGGUGAAAAGCCCGCUCGCCGGAAGACCAAGGGUUCCUGUCCAACGUUAAUCGGGGCAGGGUGAGUCGACCCCUAAGGCGAGGCCGAAAGGCGUAGUCGAUGGGAAACGGGUUAAUAUUCCCGUACUUGGUGUUACUGCGAAGGGGGGACGGAGAAGGCUAUGUUGGCCGGGCGACGGUUGUCCCGG